CCUUCACGAAGUCGGAAUUGCUAGUAAUGGCAGGUCAGCAUACUGCCGUGAAUACGUUCCCGGGCCUUGUACACACCGCCCGUCACACCAUGAGAGUUAGGAAUACCCGAAGCCUGUGAGCUAACUUUAAUAGAGGCAGCAGUCGAAGGUAGAACUAAUGAUUGGGGUGAAGUCGUAACAAGGUACC
Molecule: ribosomal RNA, 187 nt
Filed under: uncultured bacterium
Lineage: Bacteria
Description: partial 16S ribosomal RNA
Rfam family: Bacterial small subunit ribosomal RNA
Source: RNAcentral